AGAGUUUGAUCAUGGCUCAGGAUGAACGCUGGCGGUCUGCUUAACACAUGCAAGUCGAACGGAAGUAGCAAUACUUUAGUGGCGGACGGGUGAGUAACGCGUGAGAAUCUACCUUCAGGACGGAGACAACAGUUGGAAACGACUGCUAACCCCCGAUGUACCGCAAGGGCAAAUAUUUAUAGCCUGAAGAAGAGCUCGCGUCCGAUUAGCUAGUUGGGGGGGUAAAAGCCCACCAAGGCGACGAUCGGUAGCUGGUCUGAGAGGACGAUCAGCCACACUGGGACUGAGACACGGCCCAGACUCCUACGGGAGGCAGCAGUGGGGAAUUUUCCGCAAUGGGCGCAAGCCUGACGGAGCAAGACCGCGUGGGGGAGGAAGGCUCUUGGGUUGUAAACCCCUUUUCUCUGGGAAGAACAAAAUGACGGUACCAGAGAAUCAGCUCGUAUUCCGCCU
RNAcentral lists this ribosomal RNA (453 nucleotides) under uncultured cyanobacterium. RNAcentral's name for it is "bacterial SSU rRNA". It matches the Rfam family "Bacterial small subunit ribosomal RNA", at positions 8 to 504 of the family's 1533-position model. The record is from RNAcentral. Lineage: Bacteria; Bacillati; Cyanobacteriota.